GGAUUGCAUUUUGGUUUAUUUGCUGCUCUUUUAUAAAUCGCGAUUUUAACAAAAAAACAGAUCCCUCAUUGAUUAUAAGUUUUAUUAAGAGCCUUAGUUUUAAACGAUUACCCUAAUAAUAAGAGUUAUUAGGAGCUUUCUGUGGCCUUAUAUAUUGCUUUAAAAAUAAAAAAAGUUUUUUUUAAUAAUAAUAAUAAUGAAAAAACGCAGCAAGCUUCCACGUAAGUAACAACUCACGAAUUCUGUUUUGGAUUUUGUUUUGCCCAAGUAACUGGCAUUAAUUUUUCAGCACCCCUCGGUUUUUGGCGCUUUUGGCCAGGCGACACUUGUUGGUGUGUACACACCAAAGACACCCUCGUCUACACACAAACAUACAAACAGUCAGCACCAAAAAACAGGCCAACACACACACACACACACUCCCAUUCCGACUUGGCAAACUACGUCAUAGCCCGACACACACAGACACACAUUUUGGCAAAUGAAAAAAAAAAACACACUCGAAAAGUAGGACGUCAUCCUUAAGCGUCAACAUGGCCAAAUGCAAUUGCUGUUGUUGCUGAAGUUACUCUGUUGCUGUUGCUUUUGCUGUUGCAAUGAGGAUAUGGCUAAACUUACCCAAAGCGGCGGACCUUUGCGAAUAUGUCUUUUCGUCGGGGGAGCUCCCUGUGUAUACUGAAAGCCUACGGCUGCCCGUCUGCCUCUGCUGCU
Molecule: long non-coding RNA, 711 nt
Organism: Drosophila elegans
Lineage: Eukaryota; Metazoa; Arthropoda; Insecta; Diptera; Drosophilidae
Exons: 2
Source: RefSeq, a predicted model, not a curated record